CCUACGGGAGGCAGCAGUGGGGAAUAUUGGACAAUGAGGGAAACCCUGAUCCAGCAAUGCCGCGUGAGUGAAGAAGGCCUUAGGGUUGUAAAGCUCUUUCGCCCGCGACGAUGAUGACGGUAGCGGGAGAAGAAGCCCCGGCUAAUUCCGUGCCAGCAGCCGCGGUAAU
This 169-nucleotide ribosomal RNA is filed under the name uncultured bacterium. RNAcentral describes it as "partial 16S ribosomal RNA". It matches the Rfam family "Bacterial small subunit ribosomal RNA", at positions 338 to 524 of the family's 1533-position model. The record is from RNAcentral.